CCUACGGUGUGCAGCAGUGGGGAAUAUUGCGCAAUGGGCGAAAGCCUGACGCAGCGACGCCGCGUGAGGGAUGAAGGUCUUCGGAUCGUAAACCUCUGUCAGCAGGGAAGAACGGUCACUGUGCUAAUCAGCAGUGAAUUGACGGUACCUGCAAAGGCAGCACCGGCUAACUCCGUGCCAGCAGCCGCGGUAAUACGGAGGGUGCGAGCGUUAAUCGGAAUUACUGGGCGUAAAGCGCUCGUAGGCGGUAUGUCAAGUCAAGGGUGAAAUCCCCGCGCUCAACGUGGGAACUGCCUGUGAAACUGGCAAACUGGAGUGUGUGAGAGGAUAGUGGAAUUCCAGGUGUAGGAGUGAAAUCCGUAGAUAUCACACAGAACACCGAUUGCGAAGGCAUCUCACGAAUCCGCGAUUGACGCUGAUGCACGAAAGCGUGGGUAUCAAACAGGAUUAGAGACCCGGGUAGUC
Molecule: ribosomal RNA, 465 nt
Filed under: uncultured bacterium
Lineage: Bacteria
Description: partial 16S ribosomal RNA
Rfam family: Bacterial small subunit ribosomal RNA
Source: RNAcentral